GCCUGGGUGGCUCAGUCGGUUAAGCGUCCGACUUCGGCUCAGGUCAUGGUCUCACAUCUUGUGGGUUCGAGCCCCACGUCAGGCU
Transfer RNA from Felis catus (domestic cat), 85 nucleotides. It matches the Rfam family "tRNA". From Rfam's summary of the family: Transfer RNA (tRNA) molecules are approximately 80 nucleotides in length. Their secondary structure includes four short double-helical elements and three loops (D, anti-codon, and T loops). The record is from Rfam. Lineage: Eukaryota; Metazoa; Chordata; Mammalia; Carnivora; Felidae.